Molecule: transfer RNA, 75 nt
Filed under: Pseudomonadota bacterium
Lineage: Bacteria; Pseudomonadati; Pseudomonadota
Also listed under: 3 other names
Description: tRNA-Val
Rfam family: tRNA
About the family: Transfer RNA (tRNA) molecules are approximately 80 nucleotides in length. Their secondary structure includes four short double-helical elements and three loops (D, anti-codon, and T loops).
Source: RNAcentral
GGGCGGUUAGCUCAGUGGCAGAGCACCUGCCUUACAAGCAGGGGGUCACUGGUUCGAGUCCGGUACCGCCCACCA